RNAcentral lists this unclassified non-coding RNA (575 nucleotides) under Hevea brasiliensis (rubber tree). Lineage: Eukaryota; Viridiplantae; Streptophyta; Magnoliopsida; Malpighiales; Euphorbiaceae. The record is from RNAcentral.
AGAAGACACCGUUAGUGUUAAUUAUGACGAUUUUAUAAAUGAUGUGGAUUCCGGUGACACACUACUCGUUGACGGUGGGAUGAUGUCAUUAGUUGUGAAGUCAAAAACCAGCGAUGUAGUGAAAUGUGAAGUUAUUGAUGGGGGAGAACUGAAAUCAAGACGGCAUCUAAAUGUAAGAGGAAAAAGUGCCACCCUACCUUCAAUAACAGAGAAAGACUGGGAUGAUAUUAAGUUUGGCGUGGACAAUCAAGUUGACUUCUAUGCUGUUUCCUUUGUGAAGGAUGCAAAGGUGGUCCACGAAUUGAAAGAUUACCUUAAAAGUUGUAAUGCAGAUAUUCAUGUUAUUGUAAAGAUUGAAAGUGCAGACUCCAUCCCAAAUCUCCACUCGAUCUUAACUGCAUCUGAUGGGGCGAUGGUGGCCCGUGGUGAUCUUGGAGCUGAGCUUCCAAUUGAGGAAGUCCCGCUGCUGCAGGAAGACAUUAUUAGAAGGUGUCGGAGCAUGCAAAAACCUGUAAUAGUAGCCACCAACAUGCUUGAAAGCAUGAUAGAUCAUCCAACCCCAACUAGGGCAGAAG